GGGGAAUAUUGGGCAAUGGGCGCAGGCCUGACCCAGCAACGCCGCGUGAAGGAAGAAGGCCCUCGGGUUGUAAACUUCUUUUAUUUAGGACGAAGAACGUGACGGUACUAAAUGAAUAAGCCACGGCUAACUACGUGCCAGCAGCCGCGGUAAUACGUAGGUGGCAAGCGUUAUCCGGAUUUACUGGGUGUAAAGGGCGUGUAGGCGGGACUGCAAGUCAGAUGUGAAAUUCCAGGGCUCAACUCUGGACCUGCAUUUGAAACUGUAGUUCUUGAGUGAUGGAGAGGCAGGCGGAAUUCCGAGUGUAGCGGUGAAAUGCGUAGAUAUUCGGAGGAACACCAGUGGCGAAGGCGGCCUGCUGGACAUUAACUGACGCUGAGGCGCGAAAGCGUGGGGAGCAAAC
Molecule: ribosomal RNA, 403 nt
Filed under: uncultured bacterium
Lineage: Bacteria
Description: bacterial SSU rRNA
Rfam family: Bacterial small subunit ribosomal RNA
Source: RNAcentral